CACGUAGGGGGCGAGCGUUGUCCGGAAUCAUUGGGCGUAAAGGGCGUGUAGGCGGUUAAUUAAGUCAGGUGUGAAAGCCCGGGGCUUAACCCCGGGAUUGCACCUGAAACUGGUUAACUUGAGGGCAAGAGAGGGAAGCGGAAUUCCUAGUGUAGCGGUGAAAUGCGUAGAUAUUAGGAGGAACACCAGUGGCGAAGGCGGCUUCCUGGCUUGACCCUGACGCUGAGGCGCGAAAGCGUGGGGAGCAAACAGG
RNAcentral lists this ribosomal RNA (253 nucleotides) under uncultured bacterium. RNAcentral's name for it is "partial 16S ribosomal RNA". It matches the Rfam family "Bacterial small subunit ribosomal RNA", at positions 524 to 776 of the family's 1533-position model. The record is from RNAcentral.